UACACAUUACAAAAUCAACGCCAUGGUGGAAGAGGCGGAGUAACCCAUUCCUCCACCAGCUUCACUGCAAAAACCCACAAAAUUGGCGGCAGCUGCAAGCCGGAGCAAAGGGCUUUGGUGGGACAUCAUCAUCAUCAUCCUCAUCAUCUACAACCAAUAUACAAGAGCAGCCAAAAGAUAAACAAAAACCUGGCGGAAAAAGUUACAGGAAAACCGAAGACAACGAUGACAAAAUACCUGAUGCGGUUUGGGAGAGGAUGAUUUCAAGAAUCUUGUUCUAUGUGGGGGUACCGUUGAUUACGGGUUUUGCUUUGCUGCAAGUUUUGGGUGCAUUGAAAGAACAAAAAC
This 348-nucleotide long non-coding RNA is filed under the name Olea europaea (common olive). RNAcentral's name for it is "long non-coding RNA (OEUR_LNC000274)". The record is from RNAcentral. Lineage: Eukaryota; Viridiplantae; Streptophyta; Magnoliopsida; Lamiales; Oleaceae.